AUACUUACCUAGCAGGGGAGAUACCACGAUCAUGAAGGUGCUUUUCCUAGGGAGAGGCUUAUCCAUUUCACUCCGGAUGUGCUGACCCCUGCGAUUUCUCCAAAUGCAAGAAACUCAAAGACUGCAUAAUUUGUGGUAGUGGGGACCAGGUUUUCGUUCUCCCCU
This is a small nuclear RNA of Phodopus roborovskii (desert hamster), 165 nucleotides long. RefSeq annotates it as U1 spliceosomal RNA. The transcript has a single exon. The record is from RefSeq and is a predicted model, not a curated record. Lineage: Eukaryota; Metazoa; Chordata; Mammalia; Rodentia; Cricetidae.